Molecule: ribosomal RNA, 406 nt
Filed under: uncultured bacterium
Lineage: Bacteria
Description: partial 16S ribosomal RNA
Rfam family: Bacterial small subunit ribosomal RNA
Source: RNAcentral
AUUGAACGCUGGCGGCAGGCCUAACACAUGCAAGUCGAACGAGUGGCGGACGGGUGAGAAAUGUGUGGGAAACUGCCCGAGGGAGGGGGAUAACUACUGGAAACGGGAUCUAAUAGCGCAUACUCUGGGAUGUGCCCAGAUGGGUUUAGCUUGUGGGUGGGGUAAGGGCUCACCUAGGCGACGCUCCCGAGCUGGUCUGAGAGGAUGACCAGCCACACUGGGACUGAGACACGGCCCAGACUCCUACGGGAGGCAGCAGUGGGGAAUAUUGCACAAUGGGCGCAAGCCUGAUGCAGCCAUGCCGCGUGUAUGAAGAAGGCCUUCGGGUUGUAAAGUACUUUCAGCGGGGAGGCGUUACUCGCAGAAGAAGCACCGGCUAACUCCGUGCCAGCCGCCGCGGUAAUUC